Molecule: ribosomal RNA, 216 nt
Filed under: Wyeomyia oblita
Lineage: Eukaryota; Metazoa; Arthropoda; Insecta; Diptera; Culicidae
Description: partial 16S ribosomal RNA
Source: RNAcentral
GAUCUUUAUUUUUUUUUUUUAUAAGUUAAUAAGAUUAAUAAUAUUUAUAAAUAAAUUAAAAAUUUUACUGGGGUGGUAUUAAAAUUUAACAAACUUUUAUAAUUAUUUACAUUAAUAUAUGAAUUAUUGAUCCAAUUAUAUUGAUUAAAAAAUUAAGUUACCUUAGGGAUAACAGCGUAAUUUUUUUUUAGAGUUCAUAUCGACAAAAAAGAUUGC